RNAcentral lists this ribosomal RNA (253 nucleotides) under uncultured bacterium. RNAcentral describes it as "partial 16S ribosomal RNA". It matches the Rfam family "Bacterial small subunit ribosomal RNA", at positions 524 to 776 of the family's 1533-position model. The record is from RNAcentral.
GACAGAGGAGGCAAGAGUUGUUAGGAAUCAUUGGGCUUAAAGCGUGCGUAGGCGGCCUUGUAAGUGUCUUGUGAAAUCCCACGGAUCACCCAUGGAACUGCAGGGCAAACUGCAAGACUUGAGGUCGGUAGAGGCGCCUGGAACUCUAGGUGGAGCGAUGAAAUGCGUUGAUAUCUUGUGGAACGCCGGAGGCGAAAGCGGGGCGCUGGGCCGAUUCUGACGCUGGUGCGCGAAAGCGUGGGGAGCAUAUAGG